CCUACGGGGGGCAGCAGUGGGGAAUAUUGCACAAUGGGGGAAACCCUGAUGCAGCGACGCCGCGUGAGUGAAGAAGUAAUUCGUUACGUAAAGCUCUAUCAGCAGGGAAGAAACACUGACCUUACGGUCAGCAGCCGGUACCUGAGUCAGAAGCCCCGGCUAACUACGUGCCAGCAGCCGCGGUAAUACGUAGGGGGCAAGCGUUAUCCGGAUUUACUGGGUGUAAAGGGAGCGUAGACGGUGCGCCAAGUCUGGAGUGAACUGCCGCAGCUUAACUGCGGAACUGCUUUGGAAACUGGCGAACGAGAGUGCGGGAGGGGUAAGCGGAAUUCCUAGUGUAGCGGUGAAAUGCGUAGAUAUUAGGAGGAACACCGGUGGCGAAGGCGGCUUACUGGACCGUAACUGACGUUGAGGCUCGAAAGCGUGGGGAGCAAACAGGAUUAGAUACCCCUGUAGUC
RNAcentral lists this ribosomal RNA (458 nucleotides) under uncultured bacterium. RNAcentral's name for it is "partial 16S ribosomal RNA". It matches the Rfam family "Bacterial small subunit ribosomal RNA", at positions 338 to 795 of the family's 1533-position model. The record is from RNAcentral.